Molecule: long non-coding RNA, 4753 nt
Filed under: Bemisia tabaci
Lineage: Eukaryota; Metazoa; Arthropoda; Insecta; Hemiptera; Aleyrodidae
Description: lncRNA ENSSSA3NGG006816
Source: RNAcentral
AAAAAGCAGCCAACACCAAUGACGGAAGACAUGCUUCACGAGCUUAACAAAAACCACAUGAACGGAGUCGAUAAUUAUGGUGCUUCGGAGGACAUCUAUAACAUGGAAGACGUCUGGAAUGAUACGAGCAUUAAAAAGCGUUCCUCGUACGAGACGAGCAUGUCGAACCUCUACGACAGCUGGCGAUCUGAUUGGCAUGGCUAUAGUCACUAUUACGACGGCAGCAGUCACAGCGGUUACACGCACCGACCUCCGCGGGCCGACUACCUUUCCAGGCACCCGGACUACGAUAACGACUUUUGAUUUCACCCUUUCGAGUCGACUCUUUAAGACUGUUCUGCAUUGCCAUUAUUUUCUUCUCGACUUAAAUCUAAAUAUUCAUACCCGAAUGCUUGCUUCAAUCUUUACGUAACAAGGCUGUACCACCUGCAACCCCCCUUCCCCGGAUAAAUAAAUUUGAAAACAUAAAUAUGAAAAUAGAGUGUGCGAGCAUCACCUUAAUUGUUUCUCAAUGCUGAGAAUUGAACUUAACUCUGCUCUCAGUUUUGCCGCUUCGUCAUAAAUUUCCAAUAUUCUCUUUGUUUUCUUUUCUCAGUGAAGAAGACCAGAUGUAUUCUCAUUCUCGAGAAUUUGCGCGAUUCUUAUUUGAGGAUAAUUUUAAAAAAGGAUAAAAGAAAAAAAAUUAUUUUGCAAAAAAUUGAUCGAUUUUCUUACAAGUAAAUAGAGAGCAAGUGUUUUGGAAUCUCGCGUUGGGCUACACGGUCUAGUAGGCUCUAUUACCAUUGAUUUGUUAGGAGGGAUUCAUUCAUUUAUUUUUUACUUAUUUAUUUUUAUUUAGCUAUUGGUCCUUUCUUUUUUGAGUAAAAAAACCCGUCCGCCCCUCAGUUAUUGGGUUCCAAAAUUCGCUCUGAAAAAAUUUCUGUAGAUUUUUCAAAUUUUAACUUAUUUCCUCCAAAAUAUAUUAUUUCUUAAUGAAGUUCACAUUCGAUUCGUCACGCACGGCCCCAUUUCAGUUCUGAAAAAUUAAUCAGUUGAUUUUUUUGCAAUGUUUUUAUGAGGUUCAAAAAAAGAAGCUCGCAAGGACGUAAGAGAAUUUAAUUUAAAUUUAAUUGUCUCUUACUACAUUAGUGAUACACUUUAAACCUGCAAAUGCCUAGCUCCUUUUUAUUAAAUUUCUUUCUCACGCAAAUGGGUCAGUGCUUUCAGAGACGAAGUGAGUAUCAGUUAUCACAUUGUGAGCAUCUACGCUCUCAAACCUCCUUAAUUUCUGUUCUUUUUUUUUAAUUUUUUUUAUUGAAAUGCGAAAGCUUCUAAGAUUGUCAUAAUAUGUAAAUAAUGUUUUGUGCCCUUUAUUAGUAAUGAGUAUUUGAAUGUAGUUGUUCUAUGCGUCUACUUCAAUAUGCUUUUAAAGUGUAUAUGAAGCUGUGAUAUUUAUUACGUAUUGCCUGUUAUAUUUUCUUUGAUUUUUUUGAGGCUCAAAGACAAAAAAAUUACAAGAUUAGAAUAUGUCACAGACUGAUAUGAAAGAAAUGCAAAAAUUGCGUUUUAAAAAAAAAGGUUCAUGUGAAAUAAAUUCGAGACUCUCCACUCGGAGGCUUGGAACCCGCAAGCUUCAUUCAGGAGUAUCGCCGUACGUAUAACGUAACGAGCGUAGCUUGUUCACUGGAAUUCCUCCCAUCCUCCUGGAUCUCACUGUGGAGGAACCCCACUUUUCAUAAUACUGUAUUAAUAUUUCACAAUAUUAUAAAGAUACCAAUAUCUUUCAGGCUACGGACGACGUGUUUCGUGAAUGAUAACGUUUAUUCAUCAUGACGCCAUAUUGUAGUCUGUCAUAUUUGUUAAUGUUGAUUUAAUGUAAAUGGACACUUUUAUAAUCGAAGAAUGUGACUUAUUAAACAAUGUAGGGUUAGUUUAUUUUUAAUUGCUCCAGUCCGAGUAAAUUGAGAUAGAUACCUGGUAACGACCAAGUUUGAUAAUAUCUGCUCGCAGUUUGCUGUGGAUAGCAUUUCUUUCUUGCGUAAAAAUAACUUAAGCUGUAUGAAUCGAAAUUAUCGACUACUGCAAAAUAAAAACCAUCAACAUCCUAGAUAAUACUUGAAAAAACAGUAACUCAAUAAUUAAUGAAUAAAGAAGGUGUUACAGUACUAUUAAUACUGCCAUUAUAGUUUUAAAAGUGUGUAAUGACAAUGACAUAAUGGCAUCAAAGACGGGGAAUUUCUGUCAAACUGAAUCUCUCUUGGAACUACCCCUUAAAGACUGAGAGAGAAAAUUCAAAGAUUUUGUUCCAAAAAGGCAACUUUUUUGCAUAUAAAAGUGAAAUUCCGCCGAGGAGUCCAUGGUGAACUAUGCAAACUUGAAAUCCGCCAAAUUUAAGGGCCAAGAAUCACUAAUCGAUGAAUUAUAGUAAAAUAGCUUAUUUAUUUCUAUACACUGUUUACUCUUCGUCACAGUAUUCGCCCCAUUUUUAAAAUCUUCAUUUCAGCAACAUUUUUUCAAGAUAAUACAGCAAAUGGUUAAUACCUCAUCUGAGUUCAUACCUUUGUACAUAUCCAAAUUAUUUUUUCUUUCAAUGAGAUUUCAACAUUUUUACGGAAAAUUGAAAGAAAAUAAACCAGUUGUUUAUUUAGAGAAUAUAAUGAGAUCUAACGGAAACUUAUAUUGUUUGCAGUUGAGAUGAGCAGAGCUCCAGAUGCGCCAUUAAUAAUGUUUUCGGCACAGACUUGUCCCAGGAAAUAGUGCCUAAAAAUUUGUAAGAAAAAAUAAUGUUUGAUAAACAUUUGUACAGUAAUAUCGUAUUCUUUGUCUGCUCAAUUGUACAGUAACUUGCUGUAAGUGUUUGUAAUUUUACUUUUUAUUUUUCAUCUUUUCAGAAUUUGUUUAAGAGAGCGCUUGUGUAAAAAAUAUAUGACCUACAAUUAGGAAAUGUGUCUAGUGUAAAUUCUUCGUAGAUUUAUUUUAUGAGAAUGUAGAGAAAAAACUUACUUAGAUAGAACUGUUGUAAAUUAACGUUUCAACAAACGGUUGAAUGGUAGCCAGAUGGGAAGGAGGUGCGAUAGAUUCACUCAAGAAAGAGAUGCUUUCGUCGUUUAGGUGGAAGACAAUAAUUUACUUUUUCCUUCAUGGAAGGCGAAAGUCAUGUCUAAUUGCGUAGUUUUGUCAUCAUCUUUUAAAUACUUUUUAAUUUUUCAAUGAUACACGACUAUUCUUCCCUUAAUCUAAUAUCGACGGUUAAAUAACCAGACCACGUAUCUCGGUUUGCGACGUCGCAGACUUCCCGUCUUACUUUAUUUUUUAGAUGGAAAGCCUCACAACGUCAAUUCUUGAAAAUUGUGAAACUUUUGAGGAAUGAUAUUGGUUUGUUCUUCUUCACAAAAAUAAAAUGAGAGCGUAAAUUUUUUAACACCGCAAACGAGAUACGUAGUCUCAUAGUUUCACAGUCGACACGGCUGUUGCACAGUCUGUAAUUUGAUUUUAAAAUUAGCUGUGUUAAUUUAAUGGUAUCUAACGGUGCGUUUUGUUCCCGCCAAGAAUCGAAUUCUUAAUGUAGUUUUACGGUAUUGGAAUAGAAGAGGGAGAAUUCUCGUGCAACAAAUGAACAUGUUUCUCCUGAAUUGCGCACUUUUGGGCUCAAUUUUACACUUGGCGGAUACCUACGAUUCUCUCUGAAAGACCUCUUACCCCUCAAAAUAUCCUCCUCUCAGUAUGUAGGAAAAAAUUAAACACCAAAAGAAAGUAACAUUUUAGAAAUAACUGGAACGUAAUUUAACGCACCACGACGGAUCUACACCAAUUAAGUCGCGUUUUAUACUCUAUACAAUUCUGUCUAUCUGGCAUAUUCAACCGUUUGGAAAUACUCAUUCCGUGUUCACUCUAGUCAAAUUUUACGUCGAUCUUUUGACGCAGGUCAAUCACAUUUGAUCGCAUCCCUGUAAGUUUAAGAUUUUUGUGAACACAGAGAAGCGUGUAAUUCUGUAUGAUUUUAUUUGUACGGAUGUAUCGUCCAUUUAAUGUUUAAUAUUGUUGUUAAAUAUCCUUUUUAAUUUGUUUCUAAUUUUAAGACUUUGUAAUUUGUAUAGCCCUUAGGUAUUGCUAUCGAAAUAAAUCUGUCUGAAAAUUUUACGGUAUUGCAAUCAGUCUUACUUCGAUUACACAAUAAGUACUUUAAAUCAUCUCACGAAUAAGUGACUGAUUUUAAGUUCACUGAGUUUUUUUUAAUACUUGUAUUUGAGAAUAUCUUCAGCAUGCCUCCGUUGCCUCCCCAAAAAUUGGUACUCAAACAUUUGUAAUUAUGAUUUUCAAUUCCCAACAAAAUUCAUUACAAAUUAAGUCAGUCAUAAUAGGCUAAACUUGGGAGGAAAAACUUGAAAAUUCAUCAGUUUAAAAGAUAUGAUGAAACUACACGAAUAUGUCUACAUCUCUAUUGGAGAGAAAUAUUUUGCUUGCUCCACAUCUCAACAAACUGAGGUUUCCGAAAGAUUAACCCCCCCCCCCUUAAAGUUUGUCCUCGACUUUUUAACGCCUUGAUUAUUUGAAUAAUAUAAGGAGAACUUAAUUUGCAGUAUGAAUUUGCCUCUGGAAAGAGGUAAUGGCCUUUGAAAUUUAAACUUUAAAAAAAUCUAUUCCAAUUUUCAGACAUUUUCCAUUUCGAUCUUUCUCAGCAGAAAUAAAAAAAAGUAAAUGUUUAUAAUUUUUUUCACUGUUUAUUUGUUCUUGGAAUAAAUAUUAAUUUUCAAGUAUAAGUUGUAAUUCAUCU